Molecule: ribosomal RNA, 428 nt
Filed under: uncultured bacterium
Lineage: Bacteria
Description: bacterial SSU rRNA
Rfam family: Bacterial small subunit ribosomal RNA
Source: RNAcentral
GUGGGGGAUAUUGCGCAAUGGGGGAAACCCUGACGCAGCAACGCCGCGUGCAGGAAGAAGGUCUUCGGAUUGUAAACUGUUGUCGCAAGGGAAGAAGACAGUGACGGUACCUUGUGAGAAAGUCACGGCUAACUACGUGCCAGCAGCCGCGGUAAUACGUAGGUGACAAGCGUUGUCCGGAUUUACUGGGUGUAAAGGGCGUGUAGGCGGGAUAUCAAGUCAGUCGUGAAAUACCGGGGCUCAACCCCGGAGCUGCGAUUGAAACUGAUAUUCUUGAGUAUCGGAGAGGAAAGCGGAAUUCCCAGUGUAGCGGUGAAAUGCGUAGAUAUUGGGAGGAACACCAGUGGCGAAGGCGGCUUUCUGGACGACAACUGACGCUGAGGCGCGAAAGUGUGGGGAGCAAACAGGAUUAGAAACCCCAGUAGUCC